This 329-nucleotide unclassified non-coding RNA is filed under the name soil metagenome. RNAcentral's name for it is "partial contains 5.8S ribosomal RNA, internal transcribed spacer 2, and large subunit ribosomal RNA". The stretch from base 1 to 120 matches the Rfam family "5.8S ribosomal RNA", at positions 35 to 154 of the family's 154-position model. The record is from RNAcentral.
GAUGAAGAACGCAGCGAAAUGCGAUAAGUAAUGUGAAUUGCAGAAUUCAGUGAAUCAUCGAAUCUUUGAACGCACAUUGCGCCCCCUGGUAUUCCGGGGGGCAUGCCUGUUCGAGCGUCAUUUCACCACUCAAGCCUCGCUUGGUAUUGGGCAACGCGGUCCGCCGCGUGCCUCAAAUCGACCGGCUGGGUCUUCUGUCCCCUAAGCGUUGUGGAAACUAUUCGCUAAAGGGUGUUCGGGAGGCUACGCCGUAAAACAACCCCAUUUCUAAGGUUGACCUCGGAUCAGGUAGGGAUACCCGCUGAACUUAAGCAUAUCAAUAAGCGGGA